This 197-nucleotide ribosomal RNA is filed under the name Anochetus mayri. Its description in RNAcentral is "partial large subunit ribosomal RNA". The record is from RNAcentral. Lineage: Eukaryota; Metazoa; Arthropoda; Insecta; Hymenoptera; Formicidae.
GAAUUUUAUAAAAUUUUAAUUUAAAUAAAUUAAAAUUUUAUUUAAUUGGGAGGAUUAUUAAAUUUAACUAACUUUAAUAUAAAUUUAACAUAAAUUUAUGAAAAUUUUAAAUAAUAAAAUUAAUUAAUUUAAAAUUAAUUACCUUAGGGAUAACAGCAUAAAAUUAUUUUUUAGUUCUUAUAUAUAAUAAUAUUUGU